CAGCCGCCGCGGUAAUACAGAGGUCCCGAGCGUUGUUCGGAUUCACUGGGCGUAAAGGGUGUGUAGGAGGUUGGAUAAGUCAGGUGUGAAAUCCCACAGCUUAACUGUGGAACUGCAUUCGAUACUGUCUGACUAGAGGAUCGGAGGGGGAAGCGGAAUUCUUGGUGUAGCGGUGAAAUGCGUAGAUAUCAAGAGGAACACCGGUGGCGAAGGCGGCUUCCUGGAAGAUACCUGACUCUGAAACACGAAAGCUAGGGGAGCGAAUGGGAUUAGAUACCCCCGUAGUCCCUGUCUCUUAUAC
This 301-nucleotide ribosomal RNA is filed under the name uncultured bacterium. Its description in RNAcentral is "partial 16S ribosomal RNA". It matches the Rfam family "Bacterial small subunit ribosomal RNA", at positions 509 to 807 of the family's 1533-position model. The record is from RNAcentral.